GAUUCUUUGGCACAGAUCAAUUUUAUUAUGGAUGGAGCCACAGUGGAACCACAUUAGAAAAGUAUAUUGUUACAACACUUUCAAUAUCAACAAUGCUACUUGGAAAGUAAUAAUGUGUUCCAGAUGGCUAGAAAGAAUGACUGUCCAUUUUAAAAUGAUUUUUUUAUUGUUGUUUAGAUGAUUUAUUUUGAUAAAAUUUCAGAUAAUUUGGAUUUCUCUCAAAUGGUCAGUAAACGUGAAGAUAAGGUUUUUCACAGAGCAUGAGAUAAGGUUAUUCUAAAAGGCUACUUUCAUAUAAUUUGAUUAGAUAGAGUUUCAUACCAGUCUUAUUUCUUUCAUCUGAAGUAUUGCAGCUAAUUUUGCUUUGUGAAAGCAGACAUUGAAACUGCUUGGUUAUGUCCAGGGUUUUUCCACACCACUGACAAGCAAUGGGACUGCAGUUACCUGUCUGUAAGUGUGUGUAAUAACAGCCACUGAUGUAGCAGGUGAGAUUUUGAGAGGCUCCAAUGAAAUUUAUCUCAAUUUGUUAUAUAUAGCACAUGAAUUGGAGCUAAGCUACUGAAACUGAAAUAAAAAAAAGAUAUUUUAAAUCUGUCUUUGCUCUUGUAGUGAACACAUUUGAGGGAAGUUUAGGUGCUAUUAGGUGAAGUUAAAGUCAUUGUAAGUUCACAGGGGUAUGUUUUUUUUUUUUUUACAGGUUCCAAAUCACCAUGCUCCUUCAUUGUCCUGGUGCACCAAUACCUGUGAAAGUCUGUGUAACAUUGAUGGGGCCAUACCUUGUAAGUCCUUCCCAUCGCUUAUGUUCUUCUGUACCAAGUUAUCCUGCAAACAAGGAACAGCAGAUAAUGCAAAGCUAACAGUAUCCCUGGACAGAGCAGGAUACUCCUCCACUUUGUCUCUCUGAUACUGCAACCUGGAGACAAGUCACUUCUCUAAUGAGGC
RNAcentral lists this long non-coding RNA (942 nucleotides) under Anas platyrhynchos platyrhynchos (common mallard). RNAcentral describes it as "lncRNA (ENSAPLG00000023028.1)". The record is from RNAcentral. Lineage: Eukaryota; Metazoa; Chordata; Aves; Anseriformes; Anatidae.